ACUCAAAUGAAUUGACGGGGGCCCGCACAAGCGGUGGAGCAUGUGGUUUAAUUCGACGCAACGCGAAGAACCUUACCUGGGCUCGAACGGCUUUGGCAAGCUCUUGGAAACAGGGGCCCUCCCGCAAGGGACUGAAGUCGAGGUGCUGCAUGGCUGUCGUCAGCUCGUGUCGUGAGAUGUUGGGUUAAGUCCCGCAACGAGCGCAACCCUUGUCCUGUGUUGCUAACCCGAAAGGGUGCACUCUCAGGAGACCGCCAGGGAUAACCUGGAGGAAGGUGGGGAUGACGUCAAGUCAUCAUGGCCUUUAUGUCCAGGGCUACACACGUGCUACAAUGGACGGUACAAACCGUCGCAAACCCGCGAGGGGGAGCAAAUCGGAAAAAACCGUUCUCAGUUCGGAUUGCAGGCUGCAACCCGCCUGCAUGAAGCUGGAAUCGCUAGUAAUGGCAUAUCAGAACGAUGCCGUGAAUACGUUCCCGGGCCUUGUACACACCGCCCGU
Molecule: ribosomal RNA, 500 nt
Filed under: uncultured bacterium
Lineage: Bacteria
Description: partial 16S ribosomal RNA
Rfam family: Bacterial small subunit ribosomal RNA
Source: RNAcentral